GACGAACGCUGGCGGCGUGCUUAACACAUGCAAGUCGAACGGUGAAGCGCCUUCCUUUUUGGUGGGUGUGGAUGAGUGGCGAACGGGUGAGUAACACGUGAGUAACCUGCCCCCUUCUUCUGGAUAACCGCAUGAAAGUGUGGCUAAUACGGGAUAUUCUGGGUCUGUCGCAUGAUGGGUCUGGGAAAGAUAUUGUUUCGGUGGGGGAUGGGCUCGCGGCCUAUCAGCUUGUUGGUGGGGUGAUGGCCUACCAAGACGGUGACGGGUAGCCGGCCUGAGAGGGUGGACGGUCACACUGGGACUGAGACACGGCCCAGACUCCUACGGGAGGCAGCAGUGGGGAAUAUUGCACAAUGGGCGCAAGCCUGAUGCAGCGACGCCGCGUGAGGGAUGGAGGCCUUCGGGUUGUGAACCUCUUUCGCCAGUGAAGCAGGCCUGCCUCGUUUGUGGGUGGGUUGACGGUAGCUGGAUAAGAAGCGCCGGCUAACUACGUG
This 494-nucleotide ribosomal RNA is filed under the name uncultured bacterium. RNAcentral's name for it is "partial 16S ribosomal RNA". It matches the Rfam family "Bacterial small subunit ribosomal RNA", at positions 28 to 507 of the family's 1533-position model. The record is from RNAcentral.